UACGUAGGGGCCAAGCGUUGUCCGGAUUUAUUGGGCGUAAAGAGCUCGUAGGCGGUUUGUCGCGUCUGCUGUGAAAACCCGAGGCUCAACCUCGGGCCUGCAGUGGGUACGGGCAGACUAGAGUGCGGUAGGGGAGAUUGGAAUUCCUGGUGUAGCGGUGGAAUGCGCAGAUAUCAGGAGGAACACCGGUGGCGAAGGCGGAUCUCUGGGCCUUACCUGACGCUCAGGCACGAAAGCUAGGGGAGCGAACAGG
This 253-nucleotide ribosomal RNA is filed under the name uncultured bacterium. Its description in RNAcentral is "partial 16S ribosomal RNA". It matches the Rfam family "Bacterial small subunit ribosomal RNA", at positions 524 to 776 of the family's 1533-position model. The record is from RNAcentral.